AGUUUGAUCCUGGCUCAAGAUGAACAACUGGCGGCGCUGCCUAACUCAUGCCCGUCAAACUAAGCACUUCCGACUGAUUUCUUCCGAAGGAAGAAUUUUAUGACUGACUGGCGGACGGGUGAGUAACGCGUGGGCAACCUGCCCCGUCUACCGGGGGACAACUCGCCGGAAACGGCUGCUAAUACCGCAUAAGCGCACAGCUUCGCAUGGAACAGUGUGAAAAAUUCCGGCGGCGCGGGAUGGGCCCGCGUCUGAUUAGCUUGUUGGCGGGGCAACGGCCCACCAAGGCGACGAUCGGUAUCCGGUCUGAGAGGGAGGACGGCCACAUUGGGACUGACACACGGCCCAAACUCCUACGGCGCAGGCAGCCUCUGGUGAAUAUUGCGCGAUGGGGGAAACCCUGAUGCCCGACGCCACGUGAGCCAAGAAGUAUGUCCGUAUGUAAAGCUCUAUCAGCACCGGAAGAAAAUGACGGUACCUGACUAACAAGCUCCGGCUAAAUACUUGCCAUCAUCCGCGGUAAUACCUAUGGAGCAAGCGUUAUCCGGAUUUACUGGGUGUAAAGGGAGCGUAGGCGGCCUGGCAAGUCUGGUGUGAAAUACCGGGGCCCAACCCCGGGGCUGCAUUGGAAACUGUCAGGCUGGAGUGCCGGAGGGGCAGGCGGAAUUCCUAGUGUAGCGGUGAAAUGCGUAGAUAUUAGGAGGAACACCGGUGGCGAAGGCGGCUUACUGGACCGUAACUGACGUUGAGGCUCGAAAGCGUGGGGAGCAAACAGGAUUAGAUACCCUGGUAGUCCACGCCGUAAACGAUGAUUACUAGGUGUCGGGGGACCAAGGUGCUCCGGUGCCGGUGCAAACGCAUUAAGUAAUCCGCAUGGGGAGUAGGUUUGCAAGAAUGAAACUCUAAGGAAUUGACGGGGAUCUGCACAAGCGGUGGAGCAUGUGGUUUAAUUGGAAUCAAUGAGAAGAGCGUUGUCUGGUCAUGACAUCCUGGUGAAGCAUGAGAAAAGUUACGUUUCUUUCUGGACCCCGGAUACAGGUGGUGCAUGGUUGUCGUCAGCUCGUGUCGUGAGAUGAGGGGUUAAGUCCAUCAUCGAGCGCAACCCCUAUUUCCAGUAGCCAGCAUGAAAGAUGGGCGGUCCGGAGAGACUCCCCGGGACAACCGGGAGGAAGGCGGGGCCGAGGUAAAAUCAUCAUGCCCCUUAUGCCCAGGGCUACACACGUGAUACAAUGGUGUCAACAAAGGGAGGCAAGAAUCCGACGUCAAGCAAAUCCCAGAAAUAACGUCCCAGUUCGG
RNAcentral lists this ribosomal RNA (1296 nucleotides) under uncultured bacterium. RNAcentral's name for it is "partial 16S ribosomal RNA". It matches the Rfam family "Bacterial small subunit ribosomal RNA", at positions 10 to 1296 of the family's 1533-position model. The record is from RNAcentral.